This 471-nucleotide ribosomal RNA is filed under the name Salmonella enterica. RNAcentral describes it as "bacterial SSU rRNA". It matches the Rfam family "Bacterial small subunit ribosomal RNA", at positions 1 to 468 of the family's 1533-position model. Lineage: Bacteria; Pseudomonadati; Pseudomonadota; Gammaproteobacteria; Enterobacterales; Enterobacteriaceae. The record is from RNAcentral. RNAcentral also lists the same sequence under 1 other name.
AAAUUGAAGAGUUUGAUCAUGGCUCAGAUUGAACGCUGGCGGCAGGCCUAACACAUGCAAGUCGAACGGUAACAGGAAGCAGCUUGCUGCUUUGCUGACGAGUGGCGGACGGGUGAGUAAUGUCUGGGAAACUGCCUGAUGGAGGGGGAUAACUACUGGAAACGGUGGCUAAUACCGCAUAACGUCGGAAGACCAAAGAGGGGGACCUUCGGGCCUCUUGCCAUCAGAUGUGCCCAGAUGGGAUUAGCUUGUUGGUGAGGUAACGGCUCACCAAGGCGACGAUCCCUAGCUGGUCUGAGAGGAUGACCAGCCACACUGGAACUGAGACACGGUCCAGACUCCUACGGGAGGCAGCAGUGGGGAAUAUUGCACAAUGGGCGCAAGCCUGAUGCAGCCAUGCCGCGUGUAUGAAGAAGGCCUUCGGGUUGUAAAGUACUUUCAGCGGGGAGGAAGGUGUUGUGGUUAAUAACC